GGGCCCGCACAAGCGGUGGAGCAUGUGGUUUAAUUCGAUGCAACGCGAAAAACCUUACCUACUCUUGACAUACUUGGAAGCUCUUGUAAUGAGAGUGUGCCUUUUGGAACCAAGAUACAGGUGCUGCAUGGCUGUCGUCAGCUCGUGUCGUGAGAUGUUCCGUUAAGUCGGAUAACGAGCGCAACCCUUACCCUUAUUUGCCAGCGAUUCGGUCGGGAACUAUAAGGGGACUGCCGGUGAUAAACCGGAGGAAGGUGAGGACGACGUCAAGUCAUCAUGGCCCUUACGAGUAGGGCUACACACGUGCUACAAUGGGGAAUACAGACGGACGCUAAGCCGCGAGGUGGUGCUAAUCCUAGAAAGUUUCUCGUAGUCCGGAUUGGAGUCUGCAACUCGACUCCAUGAAGCUGGAGUCGCUAGUAAUCC
Molecule: ribosomal RNA, 426 nt
Filed under: uncultured bacterium
Lineage: Bacteria
Description: bacterial SSU rRNA
Rfam family: Bacterial small subunit ribosomal RNA
Source: RNAcentral